Molecule: ribosomal RNA, 330 nt
Filed under: uncultured bacterium
Lineage: Bacteria
Description: bacterial SSU rRNA
Rfam family: Bacterial small subunit ribosomal RNA
Source: RNAcentral
UGUGUAGGCGGCCUGUUAAGUUCCGUGUGAAAUCUCCCGGCUCAACUGGGAGGGUGCGCGGAAAACUGGCGGGCUAGAGUGCGGGAUGGGAGAGUAGAAUUCCUGGUGUAGCGGUGAAAUGCGUAGAUAUCAGGAGGAAUACCGGUGGUGUAGACGGCUCUCUGGACCGUAACUGACGCUGAGACACGAAAGCGUGGGUAGCGAACAGGAUUAGAUACCCUGGUAGUCCACGCCCUAAACGAUGCAUAUUUGGUGUAGGUCAUUCAGUUGAUCUGUGCCGGAGCUAACGCGUUAAAUAUGCCGCCUGGGGAGUACAGUCGCAAGGCUGAA